UAAAACUCAAAGGAAUUGACGGGGACCCGCACAAGCGGCGGAGCAUGCGGAUUAAUUCGAUGCAACGCGAAGAACCUUACCAAGGCUUGACAUAUACGAGAACGGGCCAGAAAUGGUCAACUCUUUGGACACUCGUAAACAGGUGGUGCAUGGUUGUCGUCAGCUCGUGUCGUGAGAUGUUGGGUUAAGUCCCGCAACGAGCGCAACCCUCGUUCUAUGUUGCCAGCACGUAAUGGUGGGAACUCAUGGGAUACUGCCGGGGUCAACUCGGAGGAAGGUGGGGAUGACGUCAAAUCAUCAUGCCCCUUAUGUCUUGGGCUUCACGCAUGCUACAAUGGCCGGUACAAAGGGCUGCAAUACCGUGAGGUGGAGCGAAUCCCAAAAAGCCGGUCCCAGUUCGGAUUGAGGUCUGCAACUCGACCUCAUGAAGUCGGAGUCGCUAGUAAUCGCAGAUCAGCAACGCUGCGGUGAAUACGUUCCCGGGUCUUGUACACACCGCCCGUCAAGUCAUGAAAGUCGGUAACACCUGAAGCCGGUGGCCCAACCCUUGUGGAGGGAGCCGUCGAAGGUGGGAUCGGUAAUUAGGACUAAGUCGUAACAAGGUAGCCGUACCGGAAGGUGCGGCUG
RNAcentral lists this ribosomal RNA (627 nucleotides) under Hyphomicrobiales bacterium. RNAcentral's name for it is "bacterial SSU rRNA". It matches the Rfam family "Bacterial small subunit ribosomal RNA", at positions 895 to 1520 of the family's 1533-position model. The record is from RNAcentral. Lineage: Bacteria; Pseudomonadati; Pseudomonadota; Alphaproteobacteria; Hyphomicrobiales.